GAUGAACGCUGGCGGCGUGCCUAAUACAUGCAAGUCGAGCGAACGGACGAGAAGCUUGCUUCUCUGAUGUUAGCGGCGGACGGGUGAGUAACACGUGGAUAACCUACCUAUAAGACUGGGAUAACUUCGGGAAACCGGAGCUAAUACCGGAUGAUAUUUUGAACCGCAUGGUUCAAAAGUGAAAGACGGUCUUGCUGUCACUUAUAGAUGGAUCCGCGCUGCAUUAGCUAGUUGGUAAGGUAACGGCUUACCAAGGCAACGAUGCAUAGCCGACCUGAGAGGGUGAUCGGCCACACUGGAACUGAGACACGGUCCAGACUCCUACGGGAGGCAGCAGUAGGGAAUCUUCUGCAAUGGGCGAAAGCCUGACGGAGCAACGCCGCGUGAGUGAUGAAGGUCUUCGGAUCGUAAAACUCUGUUAUUAGGGAAGAACAUAUGUGUAAGUAACUGUGCACAUCUUGACGGUACCUAAUCAGAAAGCCACGGCUAACUACGUG
This 497-nucleotide ribosomal RNA is filed under the name uncultured bacterium. RNAcentral describes it as "partial 16S ribosomal RNA". It matches the Rfam family "Bacterial small subunit ribosomal RNA", at positions 28 to 507 of the family's 1533-position model. The record is from RNAcentral.